GAUGAACGCUAGCGGCAGGCUUAAUACAUGCAAGUCGAGGGGCAGCAUGAUUGUAGCAAUACAAUUGAUGGCGACCGGCAAACGGGUGCGGAACACGUACACAACCUUCCAACAAGUGGGGGAUAGCCCAGAGAAAUUUGGAUUAAUACCCCGUAACAUAGCGAUGUGGCAUCACAUUGCUAUUAUAGAUUUUUCGCUUGUUGAUGGGUGUGCGGCUGAUUAGAUAGUUGGCGGGGUAACGGCCCACCAAGUCUACGAUCAGUAGCUGAUGUGAGAGCAGGAUCAGCCACACGGGCACUGAGACACGGGCCCGACUCCUACGGGAGGCAGCAGUAAGGAAUAUUGGACAAUGGACGCAAGUCUGAUCCAGCCAUGCCGCGUGAAGGAUUAAGGUCCUCUGGAUUGUAAACUUCUUUUAUAAGGGACGAAAAAAGGCUUUUCUAGGUCGUCUGACGGUACCUUAUGAAUAAGCACCGGCUAACUCCGUGCCAGCAGCCGCGGUAA
This 504-nucleotide ribosomal RNA is filed under the name uncultured bacterium. Its description in RNAcentral is "partial 16S ribosomal RNA". It matches the Rfam family "Bacterial small subunit ribosomal RNA", at positions 28 to 523 of the family's 1533-position model. The record is from RNAcentral.